RNAcentral lists this ribosomal RNA (253 nucleotides) under uncultured bacterium. RNAcentral's name for it is "partial 16S ribosomal RNA". It matches the Rfam family "Bacterial small subunit ribosomal RNA", at positions 524 to 776 of the family's 1533-position model. The record is from RNAcentral.
UACGGAGGGUGCGAGCGUUGUCCGGAAUCAUUGGGCGUAAAGGGCGCGUAGGUGGCCCGGUCAGCGUGCGGUGAAAGCUCGGGGCUCAACCCCGAGUCGGCCGUGCGAACUGCUGGGCUCGAGCACUGUAGAGGCAGGCGGAAUUCCGGGUGUAGCGGUGGAAUGCGUAGAGAUCCGGAGGAACACCGGUGGCGAAGGCGGUGAUCUGGGCCGACACUGACGCUGUAGAGCGAAAGCGUGGGGAGCGAACAGG